CCAUGUCUUGGCUAUUGUAAAUAAUGCUGCAAUAAACAUUGGGGUGCAUAGGACUUUGGGAAUUCCUGACUUCAAGCUCUUUGAAGAGAUACCCAGUAGUGGGAUGGCUGGGUCAUAUGGCAGUUCACCAUUCCCUUUCCUCUUAGAUUACUGACAACAAUCUUAUUGAGAAAAAAUGGAAUUAAGAUUAUUAUCAGUGUGCUCAUUAUAUUUUUUAAAAAUAAGUCUAUCAAAUCUUUGUCUAGGAUUAACUUUUAUUAAUUGAUUUGCAUUCAAGUGAUUAGGAUGAUUACAACUAAUUAUCCAGUCAACUCUUAAAAUUUUAAUAACAUCCCUCUCUUUGGGCAUGCUUGGAAAAUCUGUCCCUGAAUCAAUAUUACAAAAUAUCUACAUAAUUUUCACCACAGAACUUCUACAAAUAAUUAUUCAUUCCAUUUUGACUAUUACAGCUUAGCCUAAAGAAUUAAGUAAAUAUGUAUUACUUCACUCCUGCACACCCUUUAAACGCAGCUAACAGACACUGAAUAAACCGGCUCAUCCCCCGCGGGAUCAGGAGUUGCUUGCCCCGUAUGCUGUCGCCAGGCUGCAGCCGCCUGAGGGGACUCGUCCGGGGCCCCGCCCUCAGAGCUCACACCCGCCGUGCGCUCUCGCCCCGGGGCCGCCCCGCCGACCUCCCGCGCGGCUCUGCGCGCACAGGCCGGACGCUCGGAGCCGGCGCCGGGCCGCCCUGCUCGGCCUCCUGGGCGCAGCGGCGCCUCUGGACCGAGCACGCGCACCAGCGGCCUCCGCUCAGGCUCCGUGCCCGCGCACGCGCCCUCGCGUCGCGCUCCUGGCUGAGAGACCUGCGCUCGGGCUGGGCUCCGGGCGGUUCUCGCGUUGUCGUUCCACCGGGACUUCCGCGCUUCGGUGGCCUUUCGGACGAGCCGCCGCGCCCAGAGAUGUUCAGGUUGGAGCGACACUUCCCAGACGGCAGCGGUCACGCCAGCUCUUUGGCUUCCAUUCCGUUUUCGCGCGGUUCUCCCUCUUCGCAAGGUGAGUGGAGCUCGUUUGUGGAUGUGUUAGCACAGGAUGCGGGAAUCCUGUGAAGCGAGUCAAUUCGGAGCCCGACGUGAACCAGGAGGGGUGGCGGCGGAAGCGCUCACAGCGUGGAGGCCGGUAGUAGGGACACCAGUCCUCACGGGACUCUCGGGCCUGAACGGCAGAGGACGGUGUGUGUCUGUGGGGACAGACGGGCAGCGUGUGGCGGGGUGUGUGUGAGAGACGCGAGUGAGCGGUGGGAUGCGCCUCCGUGCCGUGGGUGUGGCUGUGCUGGGGUGACGGGGAUUUGGUGCAUGUCCUUCACCUGUGCGGGUGUGAUGGCUGUGGCUCUGUGGCGUCACUGUCUGGUGGCUCUGGGCUCCCUGGCGCUUCCUCCUCUUCUCUCCUCACAGCUGCUUGGCUGCAAGAGGGAAGUAGGACAUUGAGCCCUAAAGGGAGAUUUCCAGCCAGGGGGCACCGAGUGAUGUCAUUCUGACUGCAGUCACCACUGUCGGGUUGUGAUUAAACUCUGAUGACCUAUGAGAGCACCGUGAUGUCAGUUUUUCUGGAAUUGGAAUAUUGAGUACUUCCUGACCCAGUUCUAUGUCUUUUCUAACCUGUUCAACCUCACCUGACCCCAAGGCCAUGAGCUCUAGAUUCCCUUUGUUCUUUCCCAGUAGAGGAAUCCCAAGGAGGACUGAUCAGUUUUGGCAGGUGCAAAACCAUGGAGUGAAAUCAUAGAGUAUUCCUUUCUCUGUCUUACUUGUUUGGCUCAGGAUCCAUCCAUGUUGUCUCAAAUGGGAUGAGUUUGUCUGUUUUUAUGG
This 1841-nucleotide long non-coding RNA is filed under the name Equus caballus (horse). RNAcentral's name for it is "lncRNA (ENSECAG00000030526.3)". Lineage: Eukaryota; Metazoa; Chordata; Mammalia; Perissodactyla; Equidae. The record is from RNAcentral.